AAGUGGCCAGUGCUCACACUACAAGCCUGAAUGGUGAGGAGGAGGAGGGAGCAAUUGGUGGGGAGGUGAUUCCCUACAAGAAGCUGGUGCAGAGUCUGGAGAAGGCCGUCAAUAGAUUCCAGGAUGGAUCAUGCAGCAACUGUGCCUCUCUCUCUUGGUGAGUGACUCCAUCGAGCCACCACCCAAGGAAGCCCCUCCAAAGGCCACAAAGGAGGAAGGCAGUGUUGUCAUUCUGGAUGCCAAGCUGUUCUACAAGCAGCAGGAGAAGGAGGUGGCAGAGAAGAUCAAGGAGAGCCUGGCAGUGACUGAGUAUGCCAAGCCAUCCAGUGCAUUGGUGUUGAGUGGUGUGUCCAGCAGUGUGGUGCAGUACACAGUGUUUGAAAUGCAGCUGUCCUUUACUGUGCUGGAUACAGAGGGUGCACCCACCAGUGACCUGGGCCACAAGAGUGAUCCCUCGCAGGUCACGGCAAGUCUCUUGGGAGGUCCGCCAGGUGCCAUCGUCAUGGGCACCACAACAGUUCCCAACAGGAAUGGCACUGCCAUCUUCACCAACCUGUCUGUCAGCAAGCCCGGGGAAGGCUACAACCUCACUUUCACCAUCACCUACCCCAGCUAUGCUCUAGCCCUCACCACCACCCUGGAGGAGACCUUCAGCUUGACACAGAUGAGUGCAGCAAUGGUCCUGCAGCAGCCCAGCAUAGUGCAGGCCGGACAACCCACCACCAUCACUGUUCACUUUGUUGACAAGGACUCUGGCUUGGUGCUUAAUGGCCUGGCUUUCAAGGGCAGACAUUUGUGGGCAAACUGCUGGCAAAGACUGCUGAGGGACACUUUGAGGUUAUCCAGAGGUAUGCCAAGUAAGAAACAGAAGAGAAUGUUACAAGGAGGAGGCAGCAGGCACCUGCCAAAAUGAUAAUUACUCCCAGUGAGGUCUAAAGCACUGGAUGAUGGGGUGCUGUGAACUUAUCAUUAAACGCAGCUGUGACCUCACUGAAUGUUUCCCUUUGUGUCUCACAAGAAAAGGGGACAGUCACAGCCUGCUCUCUAAAGACAACUCUCUUCCUUCACACAAAACUACAAACAUCUAAUUACACACACACCCUUCACUCAAUUAUCAUGGAGACUCCUACACCAGCCUCAUAGAGUCACCAUUGGGGAAGGGGACAACAAAUGUCCCCAGGUCAGACUGCUCUUCUGGUAUCGACCCUAAGUGUCUUGACACCGCUCAACUUUUUCUUCAUUAACUCCUGCAACAUUUGCAGUCUUGGAUCUAAUUUUCAGUCUGUAAAAACACCAUCUCUCCUCUACUAAACCUCAUUUUCUUUUCCUCACUGAAACUCAGGUGUCUAAGGCAACUGACAUUAGCCCCAUUUUUGUUCUCUCCUACUUUCUCUAUCCUCAUUUUCAAUCCAAAGCUGGAUGUUGCAUUUAUGUGCGCAACAACUUAACCUGCUCUCUUGCCCAUGCUCUUGAAUCUUCCGAGUUUUCCACAACCUGGCUACGAUUACAGUCACUCUCAAACUAAAUGUAUCUGUGCUGUAUACCUCUCACCUAACUCCUCUGACUUUAAAAAAUUCUUUGACUUCUUAACUUCCAAAGUGGAGCACAUUCUGACCCUCUUCCCUUUUGCAGAGGUCUCCAUUCUUGGAGACUUCAAUGUUCACCAUCAGCUUUGGCUUUCCUCUCCCUUCACUGACCAUCCUGGUGAACUAGCCUUCAACUUUGCUAUCCUCCACAACCUAGAGCAAUCGGUGCAACACCCUACUUGUAUUCCUGACCAUCUUGGAGAUAUGCCCAACAUUAUUAACCUUUUCAUAACCUCUAAUCCUUCUGCUUAUGCUGUCACCCUCUCUUCUCUGUUGGGCUCAUCCAGUCACAAUCUCAUAUCUUUAUCUUGUCCUAUCACUCCAAUCCUUCCUCAGCAUCCCCAUAAGCAGAAUUGCCUCUAGGAUUUUGCCUCUGCUAGCUGCAGGGACCCAAGGAGGUAUUUUGCUGAUUUUCCUUGGAAUGACUACUGCUUCCAUGUCAGAGACCUGUCUGUGUGCAGAGUACAUAACAGAGGUAGUAGAGUCUGACAUGGAGGUGUACAUUCCUCACUCUUUACCUUCCAAAUCUUGGUUUAACACAGCUUGUUCUCAUGCUAUACAUGAUAGAGAGGUGGCCUACAAAAGGUACUUAAGCCUUCCAUCACCAGAAUAUCAUGGGCUUUAUAUUUCUGUCUGGAACCAUGCCAAGUCUGUUCUCCAACUAGCCAAAAACUCCUUCAUUAACGGAAAGUGUCAAAAUCUUUCAAGAUCUAACUCCCCUUGUAACUUCUGGCACCAAGCCAAAAACUGGCACCAAGCCAAAAACAUCUCCAAUAACUUUGCUUCUCCUUUUCCUCCUUUAUAUCAACCGGAUGGUACCACUGCUAUCACAUCUAUCUCUAACCUAAACCUGAACUCUUCGCUCAAACCUUUGCUAAAAACUCUACCUUGGACAAUUCAGGGCUUGUUCCUCCCUCGCCUCCACCCUCUGACUACUUCAUGCUACCUAUUAAAAUUCUUCACAGUCAUGUUUUCAUGCCCUCCCUGGCCUAAACCCUCAGAAGGCUUAUGGACCUGAUGGGGUGCCUCAUAUUGUUCUCCGAAACUGUGCCUCUGUGCUUGCACCUUGCCUAGUCAAACUCUUUCAACUCUGUCAGCAUCUACCAUUCCUUCUUGCUGGAAGUUUGCCUACAUUCAGCCUGUUCCUAAAAAGGGUGACUUCAAAUCCCUCAAACUGCCAUCCUAUUGUUUUAAUUUCCUGCCUAUCUAAAGUUUUUUAAUCAAUCAUCAACAGGAAGAUUCUUAAACAUCUUUCACUUCACAACCUUCUAUCUGAUCGAUAGUAUGGGUUCCAUCAAGGCCACUCUACUGGUGAUCUUUUGGCUUUCUUUACUGAGUCUUAGUCAUCCUCUUAUAAAGAUUUUGGUGAGACUUUUGCUGUUGCUUUGGACAUAUUAAAAGUUUUUGAUAGAGUUUGGCACAAAGCUUUGAUUUCCAAACUACUCUUCUGCGCCUUCUAUCCUUUUCUCUGUAACUUCAUCUUAAGUUUCCAUUCUGACCAUUCUAUUGCUGCUGUGGUAGACGAUCACUAUUCUUCCUUUAAAUCUAUUAACUGUGGUGUUCCUCAGGGUUCUGUCCUAUCACCCACUCUCUUCUUAUUAUUCUCCAGUGACCUAAACCAAACUUCUUGUCUUAUCCACUCCUACACUGAUGAUACCACCCUGCACUUUUCUAUGUCUUUUGUAGAAGUCCAACCCUUCAGGAAGUAAAGAGUUCAUGCAGGGAAGCCACAGAAAACCUGACUUCUGAUCUCUCUAAAAUUUCUGAUUGGGGCAGAGCAAACUUAGUAUUAUUCAAUGCCUCAAAAACUCAAUUCCUCCACUUAUCAACUUGACACAACCUUCCAGAUAACUAUCCCAUCUUCAGUGACACUUAACUGUCCCCCUUUCUACACUGAACAUCCUUGGUCUGUCCUUUUCUUAUAAUCUAAACUGGAAACUUCACAUCACAUCCCUAGCUAAAACAGCUCUUAUGAAAUUAGAUUCUGAGACAUCUUCACCAGUUUUUCUCAUCUCCCCCCCAACUGUUAACUCUGUACAGGGGCCUUAUCUGUCCAUGUAUGCUUCACAUGUCUGGGGGGGUUCCACUUGUACUGCUCAUCUAGACAUUAUGGAAUCAAAAGCUUUUUGUCUCAUCAGCUCCUCUCCUCUAACUGACUGUCUUCAGCCGGUUUCUCAUCACUGCAAUGUUGCAUCUCUUGUUAUCAUCUACCGUUGUUUUCAUGCUAACUGCUCUUCUAAUCUUGCUAACAGCAUGCCUCCCCUCCUCUGACGGCCUCGCUGCACAAGACUUUCUUCUUUCUUUCACCCCCUAUUAUGUUCACCUCUCUAAUGCAAGAGUUAACCAGUAUUCUCAAUCAUUCAUUCCUUUCUCUGGUAAACUCUGGAACUCCCUGCCUGCUUCUGUCUUUCCACCUUCCUAUGACUUGAAUUCCUUCAAGAGGGAGGUUUCAAGACACUUAUCCUUCAAUUUUUGACUGCUGCUUUGGACCCUUUUAUGGGACUGGCAUCUCAGUGGGUCUUUUUAUUUUUUGGUGGGGGGAGGGGGAGGGUUGUUGCCCUUGGCCAGUGUCCCUCCUAAUUGAAAAAAUAAAUAAAUAAAAAUAUCACCACCCAUAUCUUCCCAACACAAAUACUGACAACAGCCCCUGUGUCAGGCUGUAUGUACCAGAUGAGGCUGUGUCAAUGCUCACCUUUGAGAAUGUCAUAUUUGAGGCGCCAGACGUGAGACAGCAACUCAUAGCCAAGGUUGCUGUCGUCUCCGCUAGCUGACUAUUAAAGAUGCAGAAUCCUUGCUGAACCAUCACUGGAACCAUGAAAACACCCCUGAAAACACCAUAACAACUGAAAGUAUUGGAGGUAAGAGAGAGCAAAACAUUUGGGAGUGCAGUUUAUUAUCUGUCUCCCAUACAGGACUGGUGGUGUAUCCCUCACAUCUGGUCAUCAAGGAGUACCCCAUGGUCAAGUCCUUGCACACCGAUCCGUUCUGAUGGAAGCAGUUGGAGGGUGUGGAGGAUGGGGUGAGAAUGACUGUCCUUAUUGCCCAUCUGUUAUAUCCUUCAGUAUCUUCUUUUCUUCACCUGCACUGUGUUUUUUCCUCUUGCAUCCUUCAGUAAUAUUGUUUUCUUCAUGCCUCCUGUGUUCUUUUUGCUUCUGUUUUAUCCUUCAUUAUACCUUUCUGUUAUAUCCUUCAGUGAUAUCCUUUUUCUCCUCCUGCAGUGUAUUCUUUUUCCCUCUUAUCAUAUCAUGUAUCCUUCAAUGAUAUCUUUUCUUCAUCUUUGCUGUAUUCUUUUUCCUCUACCUUAUCCUUCAUUAUCCAUUUCUUCACUCAUUCUGUAUUCCUCUUUCUUCUUUCUUUAAUGCACACUUUCCUCCACACACACAAUUUAAACCUUUCUAUCAUGCAUAGUUACCCUCACCCCCUCCUUGCCCCACGCACACACACACACACACACACACACACACACACACACACCUUUAAUGAUGU
RNA transcript from Scylla paramamosain (green mud crab), 5072 nucleotides. RefSeq lists it as uncharacterized. NCBI's taxonomy places the organism in Eukaryota, Metazoa, Arthropoda, Malacostraca, Decapoda, Portunidae. The transcript has 6 exons. The record is from RefSeq and is a predicted model, not a curated record.